RNAcentral lists this ribosomal RNA (229 nucleotides) under uncultured bacterium. RNAcentral's name for it is "partial 16S ribosomal RNA". It matches the Rfam family "Bacterial small subunit ribosomal RNA", at positions 568 to 796 of the family's 1533-position model. The record is from RNAcentral.
UCCGUAGGCGGGCGACUAAGUCAGAGGUGAAAUCCCACAGCUUAACUGUGGAACUGCCUUUGAUACUGGUUGUCUUGAGUUAUAGUGAAGUAGAUAGAAUAUGUAGUGUAGCGGUGAAAUGCUUAGAUAUUACAUAGAAUACCGAUUGCGAAGGCAGUCUGCUAACUAUAUACUGACGCUAAUGGACGAAAGCGUGGGGAGCGAACAGGAUUAGAUACCCUGGUAGUCC